RNAcentral lists this ribosomal RNA (465 nucleotides) under uncultured bacterium. RNAcentral describes it as "partial 16S ribosomal RNA". It matches the Rfam family "Bacterial small subunit ribosomal RNA", at positions 28 to 507 of the family's 1533-position model. The record is from RNAcentral.
GACGAACGCUGGCGGCGUGCUUAACACAUGCCAGUCGAACGGAAAGGCCCUGCUUGCCGGGUACUCGAGUGGCGAACGGGUGAGUAACACGUGGGUGAUCUGCCCUGCACUUCGGGAUAAGCCUGGGAAACUGGGUCUAAUACCGGAUAGGAGCCAUUUUUAGUGUGAUGGUUGGAAAGUUUUUUCGGUGUAGGAUGAGCUCGCGGCCUAUCAGCUUGUUGGUGGGGUAAUGGCCUACCAAGGCGGCGACGGGUAGCCGGCCUGAGAGGGUGGACGGCCACAUUGGGACUGAGAUACGGCCCAGACGCCUACGGGAGGAAGCAGUGGGGAAGAUUGCACAAUGGGCGCAAGCCUGAUGCAGCGACGCCGCGUGGGGGAUGACGGCCUUCGGGUUGUAAACUCCUUUCGCUAGGGACGAAGCUUUUUGUGACGGUACCUAGAUAAGAAGCACCGGCUAACUACGUG